CCAGACUCCUACGGGAGGCAGCAGUGGGGGAUAUUGGACAAUGGGGGAAACCCUGAUCCAGCGACGCCGCGUGAGUGAAGAAGUAUUUCGGUAUGUAAAGCUCUGUCAGCAGGGAAGAAAGAAAUGACGGUACCUGACCAAGAAGCCCCGGCUAACUACGUGCCAGCAGCCGCGGUAAUACGUAGGGGGCAAGCGUUAUCCGGAUUUACUGGGUGUAAAGGGAGCGUAGACGGCUGUGCAAGUCUGAAGUGAAAGCCCGUGGCUCAACCGCGGAACUGCUUUGGAAACUGUAUAGCUUGAGUACUGGAGAGGCAGGCGGAAUUCCUAGUGUAGCGGUGAAAUGCGUAGAUAUUAGGAGGAACACCGGUGGCGAAGGCGGCUUACUGGACUGUAACUGACGUUGAGGCUCGAAAGCGUGGGGAGCAAACAGGAUUAGAUACCCCCGUAU
Molecule: ribosomal RNA, 448 nt
Filed under: uncultured bacterium
Lineage: Bacteria
Description: bacterial SSU rRNA
Rfam family: Bacterial small subunit ribosomal RNA
Source: RNAcentral